CGUACGCAUUCAGUGUCCUUGUCCGCCCGACCUUCGACGACGUGAAACAGAGGCCCUUCUCCAUAAUCGCAUUCAGCAGGGAUGAUUUGCCCACGUUCGAUCUACCCAGGAACACCACCUCGGGCACAUCGGACAUGGGGAUCGUGCGGAAUUCGCUGGCCGUCCACAUCUGUAUGGGCGAGUGGUUGGAGGCUCUGAACAGGUCCGCGCCAUAUUGGAGUUGUUGUUGGGUUGGGGGCGCUGUGUCAUAGUAGAAGCAGUAGUCGUGCAGUUGGAGUUGGAUGGGCGGUGAGGCAGUUGCGGGGCCAGUGCGGGUUAUUUUUGGCUUGCGUUCGGUGGCCCUGAGUAGGUUUUUCGCUGUGGUGGUUGCGAUGGAGGCUGCGGAUUUUGCGGCGGCCAUGCUUGUUGGUUUGUUUCCGCGUUCUUGUCGAUUGGGGGUUUGAGUGAUUGUUGGGGUAAAGGGAGGUUUCUAUGAAGUUAGAAGACGUGACAUAUUUUGGGGAAUAUGUGUGUGUGUGUGUGUUAGGAUUAGGAUUCUUCAACUGGGCGUUUCUAUCGCUCGCGUGGAGCUGUGA
This 575-nucleotide small RNA is filed under the name Histoplasma capsulatum. RNAcentral's name for it is "hypothetical RNA". RNAcentral also lists the same sequence under 1 other name. The record is from RNAcentral. Lineage: Eukaryota; Fungi; Ascomycota; Eurotiomycetes; Onygenales; Ajellomycetaceae.